GAAAUAUAGGCUAAACAUGUAAACCAUGGGCCUUCAAAGCCCAAAUUGUGAACAAAUCACUAUUUCUGCCUAAGACUUG
RNAcentral lists this transfer RNA (79 nucleotides) under Holcosus sinister. RNAcentral's name for it is "Holcosus undulatus sinistra tRNA-Trp". The stretch from base 1 to 68 matches the Rfam family "tRNA". Rfam says of the family: Transfer RNA (tRNA) molecules are approximately 80 nucleotides in length. Their secondary structure includes four short double-helical elements and three loops (D, anti-codon, and T loops). Further hydrogen bonds mediate the characteristic L-shaped molecular structure. tRNAs have two regions of fundamental functional importance: the anti-codon, which is responsible for specific mRNA codon recognition, and the 3' end, to which the tRNAs corresponding amino acid is attached (by aminoacyl-tRNA synthetases). tRNAs cope with the degeneracy of the genetic code in two manners: having more than one tRNA (with a specific anti-codon) for a particular amino acid; and 'wobble' base-pairing, i.e. permitting non-standard base-pairing at the 3rd anti-codon position. The record is from RNAcentral. Lineage: Eukaryota; Metazoa; Chordata; Lepidosauria; Squamata; Teiidae.